RNAcentral lists this long non-coding RNA (2765 nucleotides) under Triticum aestivum (bread wheat). RNAcentral's name for it is "long non-coding RNA (TAES_LNC021558)". Lineage: Eukaryota; Viridiplantae; Streptophyta; Magnoliopsida; Poales; Poaceae. The record is from RNAcentral.
CCGCCGUCAUUUCCGCUCGAGCUAGUGUCCCCCUUGACAGAGAGGAGAAGAGCGGCUCCUCCUCCCCCUCGACGCCAAGCCAACACUAACCAGCAGUCAGUCAGGUGUGCUGCCCCCUCCCCCUCACCUUCCUCAUCAUAUACAUUGGGGAUCUGGUUUCCUUGUCAUUUCCUUGUGCUUGGGUGCUUGCUUCUAUCCAACCCUAGGUUGGUUGCUGGUCGUGCCCCCACCCUCCUUUGAGUUUGAGAUGAUUCUAUGUUACAACAUGUUCCCUUAACCAUUAUUCCUUGCAGCAUCUCAUUAGCUUUCAUCUCUGUUUGGUUUUGAUGCAGGCCAAGCCAAGCAGCAGGCAGGUGACGGGAUUUUUUCUUCUGCAACCCCUCCUAAACUCCUCCUGCUAUUAGUACAAGGGGACUACUUCCCUCUGUUCCUUUGCAAGAUGAAGUAGGGCACCGAACCCCCCCCCUCCUCAUUCUCUUUUGCUAGCUCUUCCUUGUUCCUCACUGGACGCACGCGAAAAAAAGCACUAAGUAGGCAUUGUGCCGUCCGUGGGAGGCCCUCCCCUGCCUCCUCCUGUCCUCCUUUGAGGCUCAUCUCUAAUAGGCUUUGACUUCUUUAGAAUCAAUUCAUGUUAACUCUUUCAGAUCUAUAGUCAGUAUUUGAAUGUGAUAGUCGAAUGGAGUAUCUUCUUGUCAUUAUAGUUUAUAGAUUUUCUGCAAGCUUGUUGACUUUACUCCUUUGCUACUGCAUAUAUGAAAGCAGUGUCUUGUUAGCAUUAAGGCAACUAGUAAUGCACUUAUUUAUCAGAUGAAUUAUGUGAUAGUAUUCUUUCUUUCUUUUAAUGUACGUUAUGUCGCUCUAUUUAAAUAUGAGUCCUUCCUCUUAAUUUCCCUGCUUACCUAACAUUGUUGUCCCUUAUAUGCACUUUGGAUAUCGGGUGGGUUGUUGGACCAUUUUCAAGAUUUAACUCCAAAGUGCGUUUGCAGAAACCAAAAAAUCAUGGUAAGCUCAUUGUUUGCAGUCAUUUCCUUGUCCAAUUGCAUAUGUGGGCUACCGCUAAGGCCCUCCAAGGACCAUCCUACUGGACUCUGGCCCGCCGAGCCCGUGAAUUGGAUGGAGCUCGGUCCAUUUCCCAUUCACCAGCCUAAGCCACUAACCCUAGUCGGUCCAUGCAUAUAAAGAGCUCGACGCCGUCAUAUUCCUUGUAGAUUAAUUUAUUCCACUUAUAUAAAUUAAAAUUAUAUGUAUGGGCUUUAUCUACUAAUUAAAAUAAUGUUGGACCAUUUUAUACUACACAUUUUUACCUUUUAUUGUUAAAACUCCUUUUCCAUGAAUAGUCUUACUGGUUCAAUUUUCUAUUACAUUCAGCAAAAAACUAUUUUUUGAGGGAUUAUAAACCCAAACACAUAGUAUUAUUAUUAUUAUUUACUUUUCAGAUAGUGUCACUUCAAAAUCAUUGCCUAAGCCUUUAGUGUUUUUAUAUAUCAGAAAAGGGAGAAAGUUGGAUGUUUUUGUAGAUAAGUUUAUUUCAUUUGGAUGAAUUACAAUUAUGUGUAUGAAUUUUGUAUUUACUUUAGUUUUCUUAAAUAUCAUGGCUUAGUUCUCUGAAGGCGAUAGAGGUUUCUAGAGGGCAUGGUUGUCCCAUUGGGUUACUUUUUUUGUUUCCUUCAAUAUCAGCUUAGAUCUCUGAAGGCCAUAGUAAAUAAAAGUUAUAGUUUCCAGACUAAGCAAAGCUGGCCGUGUUUCUGCUAUGUCUCUGUCUAUGUGGACCAAGUAGUGUACAAACAUGCAUAGGAAUACAAAAGAGACUUGCACACCCUCGGCAAAAGACACGACAUAUAUAACAACUUAAAUAAUAGUUAAAAGGAAGUAGAACAAUCAGAUCAAAAGAUAGAGUUACAAUCCAACUCAAAAUUUAACAAACCACAACGAGUCACAACAUACAAGUUCUUGUUAGUACGAUAGCUAGUUAUAUGACUAGAUAAGCUAGACUAGACCUGAUGAUGUUACACAAAAGUUAAUUUCACAUCUUACAUAUAUAUCCUUCUUACUAUAUAUGGCCGGGCAAUCAACAGAGCAAAACGUACACCUUUUCACUAACAAGAAAGGACGAAGCUAUGACAACCUCCACUGUGGCGUCCCCAAAUGAACAAAAACGCGUUCUUGUUUGGUGGUGUUCAACAGGAAAGCCGACGUGACCCUUUCGAGCAAUACAGGGACCAGACUUGCCAUAGGAUUCUAUGGCCACUCUCGGUGUCCCUUGUGGUUCCACUGAAACCACUUUCCUCGAUAGAUAAACGUAGUUAUUUGAUCCUCUACGCAUUCCUUUACCACAGUGGUCAAGCAACACAACUCGCUUGUAAGUGCUAGGAAUAACCUGUGUUGUAGUAAAUGCCAAUCCACUUUAGCAAAGUGUAUACCCACUUAGCCUAGAGUUACCCAUCAAGCAACACAAAAGUUAGCUAUGAUAUAUGACAAGAAAAGAAGAGAAGGAAAAGGAAAGAAACCCAGAAAAUAAAACCAAAAGAAGAACAAAGAAAAGAAAAGAAAAAACAGAAAACCGGCUAAGAUACUGCACAGAAAAAGCCCGACACAAAACAUUGCUCAAACCAUGCAAAGUGGCAUAGAAGGUUCACACAACUGAGCUAAAUGGGUUGCCCACAACUUCCAGCUCUGUAGGUGACCCUACCAUUGGUUUGGCAAUAAGCAAGAUUUAGCUUUGGUGAUGCAUCCAAGCAAUAAAAAUGAGCAGUUAACAGGCUCGG